GAUGAAGAACGUAGCAAAAUGCGAUAAGUAAUGUGAAUUGCAGAAUUCAGUGAAUCAUCGAAUCUUUGAACGCACAUUGCGCCCGCCAGUAUUCUGGCGGGCAUGCCUGUUCGAGCGUCAUUUCAACCCUCAAGCGCAGCUUGGUGUUGGGACUCGCGUUAAUUCGCGUUCCUCAAAUUGAUUGGCGGUCACGUCGAGCUUCCAUAGCGUAGUAGUAAAACCCUCGUUACUGGUAAUCGUCGCGGCCACGCCGUUAAACCCCAACUUCUGAAUGUUGACCUCGGAUCAGGUAGGAAUACCCGCUGAACUUAAGCAUAUCAAUAAGCGGAGGA
This 332-nucleotide unclassified non-coding RNA is filed under the name soil metagenome. RNAcentral's name for it is "partial contains 5.8S ribosomal RNA, internal transcribed spacer 2, and large subunit ribosomal RNA". The stretch from base 1 to 120 matches the Rfam family "5.8S ribosomal RNA", at positions 35 to 154 of the family's 154-position model. The record is from RNAcentral.